RNAcentral lists this ribosomal RNA (401 nucleotides) under uncultured bacterium. RNAcentral's name for it is "bacterial SSU rRNA". It matches the Rfam family "Bacterial small subunit ribosomal RNA", at positions 356 to 774 of the family's 1533-position model. The record is from RNAcentral.
CGGGAAUUUUGGGCAAUGGGCGAAAGCCUGACCCAGCAACGCCGCGUGAGGGAUGAAGUAUUUCGGUAUGUAAACCUCGAAAGAAUGGGAAGAAUAAAUGACGGUACCAUUUAUAAGCUCCGGCUAACUACGUGCCAGCAGCCGCGGUAAUACGCAGGGAGCAAGCGUUGUUCGGAUUUACUGGGCGUAAAGGGCCCGUAGGCGGCGCGGUAAGUCACUUGUGAAAUCUCUGAGCUUAACUCAGAACGGCCAAGUGAUACUGCUGUGCUAGAGUGCGGAAGAGGCAACCGGAAUUCUUGGUGUAGCGGUGAAAUGCGUAGAUAUCAAGAGGAACACCGGAGUCGAAGGCGGGUUGCUGGGCCGACACUGACGCUGAUGCGCGAAAGCCAGGGGAGCAAACG